AGAGUUUGAUCCUGGCUCAGAACGAACGCUGGCGGCAGGCUUAACACAUGCAAGUCGAACGGGCACCUUCGGGUGUCAGUGGCAGACGGGUGAGUAACACGUGGGGAACGUACCUUUCGGUUCGGGAUAACCCAGGGAAACUUGGGCUAAUACCGGAUACGUCCUUAGGGAGAAAGAUUUAUUGCCGAGAGAUCGGCCCGCGUCUGAUUAGCUAGUUGGUGAGGUAAAGGCUCACCAAGGCGACGAUCAGUAGCUGGUCUGAGAGGAUGAUCAGCCACACUGGGACUGAGACACGGCCCAGACUCCUACGGGAGGCAGCAGUGGGGAAUAUUGGACAAUGGGCGCAAGCCUGAUCCAGCCAUGCCGCGUGAGUGAUGAAGGCCUUAGGGUUGUAAAGCUCUUUCGGCGGGGACGAUAAUGACGGUACCCGCAGAAGAAGCCCCGGCUAACUUCGUGCCAGCAGCCGCGGUAAUACGAAGGGGGCUAGCGUUGUUCGGAAUCACUGGGCGUAAAGGGCGCGUAGGCGGCUUUAUAAGUCGGGGGUGAAAGCCUGUGGCUCAACCACAGAAUUGCCUUCGAUACUGUAUGGCUUGAGACCGGAAGAGGUAAGUGGAACUGCGAGUGUAGAGGUGAAAUUCGUAGAUAUUCGCAAGAACACCAGUGGCGAAGGCGGCUUACUGGUCCGGUUCUGACGCUGAGGCGCGAAAGCGUGGGGAGCAAACAGGAUUAGAUACCCUAGUAGUCC
RNAcentral lists this ribosomal RNA (745 nucleotides) under uncultured bacterium. Its description in RNAcentral is "bacterial SSU rRNA". It matches the Rfam family "Bacterial small subunit ribosomal RNA", at positions 8 to 796 of the family's 1533-position model. The record is from RNAcentral.